Molecule: long non-coding RNA, 393 nt
Organism: Heterocephalus glaber (naked mole-rat)
Lineage: Eukaryota; Metazoa; Chordata; Mammalia; Rodentia; Bathyergidae
Source: RefSeq, a predicted model, not a curated record
GCUCGGCGUUGGGGACAAAAUUCUUGAACGCGAAACAGAAGGUUAAGGCCCGAGGGGAGGAGCUACAAGCGGAAGUGGCGAAGGAUGCCCAGAACCACCUGACAGAUUAGUGGGAUUCGCCGGUGUCGCGUUUGCGAGCAAACCCGAAUGUUAACACCUCCGCAGUCCAGUCUAUGUUCUACGACAAGACCAGGAAACAGAAGCAUCAGAGAUGCCCAGCUAAACUGAGGUGGACACACAAAAUAAACUCAGCUCUUUUCUCUUCACAGGUGAAAACUGCCAUUUGCCUAUAAAGAGAAGUGUUUAAAAUGGGGGUUUUUUGUAUUAAAUUCUUUUAUUGGUACAUUGUAGGUAUACAACACAAUUACAUUUCUCGUUGGGAAUUGUACCUUU